This 205-nucleotide unclassified non-coding RNA is filed under the name plant metagenome. Its description in RNAcentral is "partial contains small subunit ribosomal RNA, internal transcribed spacer 1, and 5.8S ribosomal RNA". The record is from RNAcentral.
GUAGGUGAACCUGCGGAAGGAUCAUUACUGAGGUUUCCUGGCGCACGCUGGGGAUACCCGACCUAUUGUCAUGUGCACGUGUUGGGGAGGAACGGUGGCGAGCAGCGUGUGGCUUGGGAUGGACCGUACCCGAGAGGGAGGAUCUGGACCGGCCCGCGUUGCCGCUGGCGCCCCGAAACGAACCCUUAACUUCGGCGGAAGAGGU